GGGCAGUGAGCUGCAAGGGAAUAGUCCGUGAGGGGCUCUGUUUGCUGUCGGGAGCCAUGGUCUGUCAUCUUGUUACGGUGCUGGGCCUCGUGGCUCUGGCUCGCGGUACAGGGUCGGGAGACUGGAACUACAAUGUGACUGUUUACACGGGAACUGAGACUGGAGCCGGGACAGACGCCAAUGUAAGCAUUUGGAUCUAUGGGGACUAUGUCGCAGAAAAUAUCAUACUCAGCCAUUCAACAAGAUACCAGGAUGCGUUUGAAAAUGGCCAGGUUGACGAGUUUCUCGUGAAGCUGCAUCCUCUUGGGAGAAUCAAGAAAAUUAUAGUUGGCAACGAUGGGUCACAUUCUUUCUCUGGUUGGAGUUUCAAACAACUUGUGAUCAAGGAGCGGAGCAGUGGAUGCACGACCAUGUUUGUGUGCGAGUGCUGGAUAAACGGCCAAAAGAAAACGCUUUUUCCCAAGGAGGAGACAUCGUGUGGUACAGAGACUGAUCAUACAGAGACUCCAGAUGUCACCACUGUCUUCACAACAGCCACGACCGCAGAACUCGGCAGAUCAUCACACUGCAAGUAUCAUGGACUCCUGCUGGCCGGGAUCAUUGUGGCUGGGUUCAUAUUUCUUGCUGUGAUCGUGGCGAUGGCCAUCAUGAGAAGGAAAACAGUGGCAGUGAAGGACGAGAUGGGGAGACAGGAUGGGGGGCGCAUUGAACAGCAGACAACCACCCUGUCCUGAGACUGCAUGCCAUCACAGGUCCCGUGCGUCACGAGAGGGCCUGGAACUCCAGAGGAAUCCCUCUUAUCAUGUCACGGCCGUUACGUCUCGCUUCCUCUUGCUCUCUCGGGGUCUCCUAGUGGCCCUGGUAUUUACGCUUGACCCGUGUGCAUACCCAGACUCGAUGUAUCCAAGGCGAAGUGACCACUAACCGUUUCACUCGGGUUCCCAGAGAAUGCACGGAGCCUUAGCGCACCAGUAUGGUCUACUCCAGCGGUCGGGAACCUAUGGCUCGCGAGCCAUAUACGGCUCUUCCGGUGACGGCAUAUGGCUCCCAGACAAUUUUGAGUUGAAAAAAAUAAUAAAUAAAAAAAAUAAAAAAAAUCAGUUUGGAACUGAUUUUAAAAUACUUGUGAUAUUGCUUAAUAAUACUGUGUCAUUUUAAAGUAAACAGAAAUUAGUUUUGAAGAUAAAAUGUCUCGGGUCACGGAUCCCGUGACCAGAAGUCACAUUAAAAGUAAGACAUAUUUAAUUUAUUAUACGUUAAAAAUACUAUAUGGCUGUCAAUGAAAUAUAUUAAUAAAUAUAUUGCGUUUAUGGCUCUCCCAGUCAAAAAGGUUCCCGACCCCUGGUCUACUCGAAUGUUCCUUUAGCGAACCUUAACUUCUCCAGCCACUGCAUCGUCUGAGUUUGACCUCAUCUGCUCUCACAGUUUUCACCACCUCUUCACUCGCAGCAUCCAACCUACCAACCAUAACACAAAAUGAUUACGUUAUUUAAGACCGAAGCAGGUGGAUUGCUUCACUAUUCUGGCAACUUGCCCGAUGAUGAUGGAUGUAAUUACCAGCAAAGCGUCAUAUUCAAACUGUAAAUGUUGUGGAUUUACUCUUCAACACACCGGUGGGCUGAAGUAUUAACUAAUUGGCGCGUUGUUUACGUGACAAAUCUUACUGGCUGUGUCGGGUGGUGGAGGGUUAUGACACAUUUAUACUUACGCGAUCUAACCCAAAAACCUUUCUUAUGAAUAAUAUUGAUAGCGAAAGCCUACAUGUUACACUGAUCAGUGUCCUUUUUAAAUCCUUUAUAUUAAGGUCACUUGCUUGCUUGCUUGCGCGCUUACGACCGUGCAAAUCUUUCGGUCGUUUUUUAACCCACUUCCCGUGAUCCAAUCGAGCUGACAUUUUGCACACAGACUCGUUGUGCGUGACAAUUUACUUUCGUGAAAAUUUGUUUCCAAAAUUUUCCACUUUUUAGGAAUUUUUUUUUAGUUUGUAGUGAAGUACAAAAAGUGAAAAAAAGUGAAAAAAUGGUGUCGAAUUAAAAAUGUGACUCUAUCUGCAUAGUAAUAAUUAUCUGUUAAACUUAAGAGGACAUCGUAACAUCAGAAUGCUGGAUUGACAAGACAUUCUUGAAGAGUUUUAGUGAGUUUUAGUUUUUCUUGCGUAUUCAUAGUGUAAACAAACUUCAAUUUUCAGUUUCGUCGUCGUAUUUUAGGCCAGUGUUAUGUGAAUUGAAAAAUAAAACUGAUGCCACGCAUAUAAAGGAUUUAUAGUGAAAAACUUUGAUUUUACAGGUUAAUUUUUUCCUUUCCUUUCCAGUAAUACAUUUUCCAACCCUGCCCUGGUCACUCAGCAGGGAUCGCGGACCUUGUUUGCACUACACACACAUGGUGGCAUGCGCUCACACCUACACACACACGCGCGCGUGCAUGCACACAUGCACACUCACUUUUACACACACUUUCACACAUACACACGUGGGAGCGCGCGCACACACACAAACACUCACUCCCAGCGACAGGCUGUAACUCAUAUCUCGCGGAGGAUCUCUCCGCUGAACUAAAUAGUUCCUCGGUUCAGUUCGCGAGGUGCGAAUUCGCGUUUGCAAGUCACGUUAAAAAAAUAUCUCGUGGAAGCAGGUUUAUAAGUGCGGAUGUUCGUAGGUCGGGUGAGCGUGAGUCGGUGACUCAUUAUACUCUGGUAUUUCGUUUCCAAGUACAUACAUAUUCUCCAAAAUAAGGAACCAAGUGAGUUUUGAAAUUUCAGCCAUAAACCACAGGUAAGAAGUUGACACAAUGGAGCGUGGGUGAUUUUGUGCAUGAGCCAGCUGAAUGUAAAUGUAAAGCUAAGUGUUGUGAAUGUAUAUGGCUCCUGGAGGGGUAUAUGGCAGCAGUUCUGAUGACUCCACUCUACUUAUGACUCCUAAUAAGAAUGAAACUGGCCAACAAGCUGUCUGCAUUUCACUGCUGCCGGUUUGGGACGGCUACAUUUUCUCAACUCCAUGAGCAAAUAGUUUGAACGACUUACCUCUAAUGGCCACACAUUAAUCUAUUUUGAACUUGUGGUCUGUGGAAGGCUAAAGUACAUUUUAAUUCCUGUGAGAUAUUAGCUCAACCGAUUAGUGUAAUUGUUGGGUAAUCGAGGCAAUGUUUUUUGUAAAUCCAAUAAGACUGCAUCUGUCAAAGUCAGUAGGAAUUAUGGUGCAGUGGUUAGCACUGCCCGAUGACCCUCGCACACAAAACCAGACGCGUCUUCCUUGCCGUACCCCCCUCCCCUUGGCUGUCGCAACUCAGAUGCAUGCACUGUGGGCUCAAGGCUGAUUUUGCGAAACUCGCGUGGUUGCUUCCAUUAUUACACACGAGGGGUGUUAUUUGAAAACUGAUGACACCAGAAUUUAAGAUGAGAAAAAUUCGGUUGACAGUAACCAAGUUGUAAAACCAGUCUCCCACGGGAGACUCCUGUUCUGCCUCACGGCAGGUGUGGGGGUGUGUGUACACAGGAAUUUCCUGUUUGGAUGUUGGGUUUGGUCACGUGACCAGGAAGUUACGAUUUUACAUCCUCUCAGCCACGCGGCAGGGCAUCAGCCAUUACAAAGAGUACAAAAUGGUGGCACAAAUAGCGUCCCAGUGAAGACAGGUGCAACUGUUCAUUGUGGGGCUUUAAAAAGCAUUGUCUGUAAGUUCGUUUAUGUUCUUAUAAUACUGGAAAUGCUGUUAUAAUGUUAGAAUGGCCGUUAUAAUGCUGUAAAUGCCUUUAUAAUGCUGUUAAAUUGUUAUGAUAAAUAUGAGGCCUAGUUAACGAUGAAGCCUGCCACUUGCCUUAUUGUGAAUGUUACUUGUAAUUGAAUAAGUCGAGUCAGACUUGUACCCAUGUAACCAUAUUGCGAUCUUGAGAGCAAGGAUGAAGAAGUAUCUCAUCCACAGUUCAGUGUGAUGUGCAGUGCCAUACAUUAAGGCUGCAGUAUGGUGAUUACAUGAAGUGACCUUAUUCAACACAGUAGCUUAUUCUCUUGUAUAGCUAUUCAGUGCUAAUGUAGGUGCCUGGUCCCCCCAGGACCUAUUGUGGAGUUUCAUGUUAUCUAAGACAAUGUUACGAUGCUGCAGUGGUCAUUGUAUUGAUAUUCCAAGUAUUAACAGAUGCUGUGUUUUGUGCUGUGUUUUUC
Molecule: RNA transcript, 4154 nt
Organism: Lethenteron reissneri (Far Eastern brook lamprey)
Lineage: Eukaryota; Metazoa; Chordata; Hyperoartia; Petromyzontiformes; Petromyzontidae
Source: RefSeq, a predicted model, not a curated record